GAUGAACGCUGGCGGCGUGCCUAAUACAUGCAAGUCGAGCGAACAGACGAGGAGCUUGCUCCUCUGAUGUUAGCGGCGGACGGGUGAGUAACACGUGGAUAACCUACCUAUAAGACUGGGAUAACUUCGGGAAACCGGAGCUAAUACCGGAUAAUAUAUUGAACCGCAUGGUUCAAUAGUGAAAGACGGUUUUGCUGUCACUUAUAGAUGGAUCCGCGCUGCAUUAGCUAGUUGGUAAGGUAACGGCUUACCAAGGCAACGAUGCAUAGCCGACCUGAGAGGGUGAUCGGCCACACUGGAACUGAGACACGGUCCAGACUCCUACGGGAGGCAGCAGUAGGGAAUCUUCCGCAAUGGGCGAAAGCCUGACGGAGCAACGCCGCGUGAGUGAUGAAGGUCUUCGGAUCGUAAAACUCUGUUAUUAGGGAAGAACAAAUGUGUAAGUAACUAUGCACGUCUUGACGGUACCUAAUCAGAAAGCCACGGCUAACUACGUG
This 497-nucleotide ribosomal RNA is filed under the name uncultured bacterium. RNAcentral describes it as "partial 16S ribosomal RNA". It matches the Rfam family "Bacterial small subunit ribosomal RNA", at positions 28 to 507 of the family's 1533-position model. The record is from RNAcentral.